RNAcentral lists this ribosomal RNA (2064 nucleotides) under Triticum aestivum (bread wheat). RNAcentral describes it as "partial small subunit ribosomal RNA". The record is from RNAcentral. Lineage: Eukaryota; Viridiplantae; Streptophyta; Magnoliopsida; Poales; Poaceae.
AUGGGGAGCGGCGGCGGCGCACGCUGGAAAAGGCGCGGAGCGGCUGCAGCGACGCGGGACGCACGGGCAGCAGCGGCUUCAGGACGCGCGUGCAGAAGCGUAGCAAGGCAGCGGCGGCGCGGACCGGGGAAACGGAAGGCGGAAGCAAGGGCUUGGCGCGCGGAGCGACUUGUAGCGGCACGCAGCGACGGGUGCAGCUGCAGCAAGAAGAUUGAUCUAUACGAUGGCUUGAUAGCACUCGAUGAGAUGCAACAGCGUAGGCACCCGCAUGCACCAACGGAUCAAGCGCGCGGCCAAGUGCUCUUUCGUUGCCACCACCGCCGCUGUCCGAGGGGAGACGUCGCCGCCGCCGAGGGGAGACGCCGCCACCCUGGGGAGACGCCACCGCCUCCCUUGGCGCCGUAUUCCCUCGACGCGUUCUUCCGGAAUGCCGCGGAGAAGAAGACCGCCGGGGCGCAGCAGGAGGAGCCCUCGCCGCCGGCCGCCGCGGACUCCCUCCUCGCCAAUCUGUUCGCGGGCGUCUCGGCCGUCAAGGCGGCCUACGCGCAGCUGAAGCUCGCGCAGUUCCCCUAUGAUGCGGAGGCCAUUCAGUCCGCGGACGCUGCCGUGGUCGCGGAGCUCACCAAGUUGUCCGAGACCAAGCGGAGGUUCCUCAAGGAUCCCGCAGGCGCGGCCAGGGACGCCGCGGCCGCGGGCAACACCGCCCUCUCCGCGCAUGCUGAGGAGCAGCGGCAUCUGCUCAAGACGUACCAGAUCACGGCGCGCAAGCUGGAGGCGGAGCUUCGUGCGAAGGAUGCGGAGCUCGACCGCGCCAAAGGAUCCCUCGAUGCGGAUAACAUAAGCUCUUCUUUUUUCUUUUAUGAAGGAGCGGAGUUACUCAUGCGGAGCUGUUCAGGGUUCAAGGAGAUACACCCGAUUGAACAAGAAGAAGCUCUCCGCGAGGGCAAGAUCAGGAGCAUGAUGGAGACAUUUUACUGGAAGGCUGUUGGCUUCCCCAGUUAUAAAUCCCAGUAUGCAAUCUUGCACACUAAUUCUUUGUGCUUCAAAUGGUCCACUGCUCACCUCCUCCUUUUAUUGGGUCCUUCGUUGAUGACUUUGGAUCAUCAUUUAUUCCGAAAUGAGCUGAAUAUGGUCGCCUCCCUCCGUUCCAUGAGGAAGUUAGUUCAAUGCGUUAAUCCCUGUUCCUUACAUGUGUGGUUUGCUUUGUUCUAUUCUUACAUUGAUGGAGACAAUAGAGGUUUGCGCGCGAGCUAUGGUACUACGCAGUGUAAGUACGACUUGUUUUGUAGACAUAAACCUUCUGCAACUUACUACUCGAGGACAAAGAUUGACCCAGUAUCAUGCCAACCAUUAGAUGAUCAAGAAGUUCAAGCUAUGCGUGGUGGUGGUUGGAGGGCAACUAGAGCAGCGGCUUGUGACGAGGCAUGGCUAGCGGCGGCUAGAGGCGGAGCUGGUCGUGCGGUUUAUGGCCGACAUGGGGCUUGUCGGAGCCGAGGCCGACCACGGCGUGACAAGGCGGCUGGGAUAGGCGAGACGAGGGAGAGGGAGCUGGUGGUGGCAUGGCUUGCCUCACCGGUGGCUGCGUGUGUUUGGAAUGCUCCGCGGACCGACAGGGGGCCUCAUUGGAUGACAAAAGUCGACAAAUAUGGUCAAGGGCGAGGCAGGGAGGCCAAGGGCGAAGUGUUGUCACCACAUCCACUUCCUAGGGCCGCAAGCGGCAAUGGUGAGGAGGUGAGUGACAACGGGAGGCUAAGGGUCUAUGCCAGUGAUGUGAUGCUUACAUGUUCUAUGAUGUUUUUCCAACACACCGUCCAUGGUUGCUUGACAGGAAACAGAGAAGUGGCCGGAUGGGCAAUCAACUUUUUUUUAGAAGAUGGAUGGGCAAUCAACUCAUCUGUUGAUUGGAUUGGGGGGUGGCAUGAACAAAGCAAGUUCUAUUUUCCCCCUCAUCCACCUCCAUCGCUCCGGCUUCUUCUCCUUCGCUCCAUGGCCAACCCCACCUUCUCCUCCGGCUUCUUCUCCUCCGCGUCCAUCACGGGAAUAUAUACUAUCUCUACUUCCUAA